CAGCCAGCCAGCCAGGCAGGCAGCAAGUCAGGCAGCCAGUCAGCCAGCCAGCCAGCCAACCAGAAAGCCAGCCAACCAGUCAGUCAGUCCCUGACCCUCAGCAGGUAGAUGUGUUAGUCCCUGUGUUAGUCCCUGACCCUCAGCAGGUAGAUGUGUUAGUCCCUGUGUUAGUCCCUGUGUUAGUCCCUAACCCUCAGCAGGUAGAUGUGUUAGUCCCCGUGUUAGUCCCUGACCCUCAGCAGGUAGAUGUGUUAGUCCCUGUGUUAGUCCUGACCCUCAGCAGGUAGAUGUGUUAGUCCCUGUGUUAGUCCUGACCCUCAGCAGGUAGAUGUGUUAGUCCCUGUGUUAGUCCUGACCCUCAGCAGGUAGAUGUGUUAGUCCCUGUGUUAGUCCCUGUGUUAGUCCCUGUGUUAGUCCCUGACCCUCAGCAGGUAGAUGUGUUAGUACUGACCAUUAGAGGUGCUAUAAGGUCUUUGGUCCGUAGAACAACCUUUAGACAGGUAUGGAGCACAGAGGUCAGGCCAUAGAGGUAGAUAGAGAUCCCUAGAUGGGCUGUCACCACCUAGAACAACUUUUAGAGAUGUAUGGAGUACAGAGGUUAGGCCAUAGAGAGAUGAAUAUAUUGAAUUGAUUUGAAUUGAUUUGGGUUGAAACAAAUGUCCAACAGGAUGCACAUUGAAUCACUAGAGAAUAUCA
This 696-nucleotide long non-coding RNA is filed under the name Salmo salar (Atlantic salmon). RNAcentral describes it as "lncRNA (ENSSSAG00000122153.1)". The record is from RNAcentral. Lineage: Eukaryota; Metazoa; Chordata; Actinopteri; Salmoniformes; Salmonidae.